UGGGGAAUCUUCCGCAAUGGACGAAAGUCUGACGGAGCAACGCCGCGUGUAUGAUGAAGGUCUUCGGAUUGUAAAGUACUGUCAUUGGGGAAGAACGGUUUUCUUGAAAAGAUUGAGAAGACAUGACGGUACCCAAGGAGGAAGCCCCGGCUAACUACGUGCCAGCAGCCGCGGUAAUACGUAGGGGGCAAGCGUUGUCCGGAAUUAUUGGGCGUAAAGGGCGCGUAGGCGGGCCUUUAAGUCCGGUGUGAAAGAUCAGGGCUCAACCCUGAGAGUGCAUCGGAAACUGGAGGCCUUGAGGACAGGAGAGGAAAGUGGAAUUCCACGUGUAGCGGUGAAAUGCGUAGAUAUGUGGAGGAACACCAGUGGCGAAGGCGACUUUCUGGACUGUAACUGACGCUGAGGCGCGAAAGCGUGGGGAGCAAACAGGAUUAGAUACCCUGGUAGUCCACGCCGUAAACGAUGAGUGCUAGGUGUAGAGGGUAUCGACCCCUUCUGUGCCGCAGUUAACACAAUAAGCACUCCCGCCUGGGGAGUACGGCCNCAAGGUUGAAACUCAAAGGAAUUGAC
This 570-nucleotide ribosomal RNA is filed under the name uncultured bacterium. Its description in RNAcentral is "partial 16S ribosomal RNA". It matches the Rfam family "Bacterial small subunit ribosomal RNA", at positions 355 to 914 of the family's 1533-position model. The record is from RNAcentral.